This 304-nucleotide small nuclear RNA is filed under the name Oryctolagus cuniculus (rabbit). Its description in RNAcentral is "7SK RNA". It matches the Rfam family "7SK RNA". Rfam says of the family: 7SK was discovered as an abundant small nuclear RNA in the mid-70s but a possible function has only recently been suggested. The record is from Rfam by way of RNAcentral. Lineage: Eukaryota; Metazoa; Chordata; Mammalia; Lagomorpha; Leporidae.
GGGUGUGAGGGUGAUCUGGCUGCGAUAUCUGUCACCCCAUUUAUCUCCAGGGUUUAUUAGGCCGAUCUGGCUAACUAGGCGGAUGUCCCCUUUCUUCCUUUAGCACUCUGUGUGCAUCCCUCCCAAAGCUGUUUGCUCCAUUGAAGAGGAUGACCUUCCUCACUAGAGGAGGAUGGGUCUUCAGUCAAGGGCAUAUGAGUAGCUAUGCUCCUCUGCUAGAUCCUCCAAACAUGAGUUUGCUGUGUUCUGCUUGUUGAAUGAAGACCACUAUUAGUGAUCUGCUUUUUCAAGACUAGCAGUCUUG